GAAACAGUCAAUAAACUAAGAAACAAAAGCCUAACUAGAACGGUGUCCAUCAUUGUCAAAUCUGUUUCUUUAUUUUGGCCAAAGUUUCCUUAACCUGUAAACUUCCUGGCUUGUUAGACCAGACUGAACUUUAGACAACCUGUAUAUCCUGAAAAAAUGACUCUGAGUUCAUCCUCUUUAUGUUUUUUGUUUCCUGUAAUAACUUUUUAACAGCCACAGCAGGAUACAACUUGUCUUUGGUUUCUGACCUCUGAGUACAAAACAAGUCACUCUGAUCAGACAACAUGCUCUCACUGUCACUGUCAUCAGAAAGCCUGGUUCUUCUACCCAGCUGGCUGAUUCUCUGUCUUCUAGUCUUAGCGCCAACUUCUGCACCAGCUUUAUCCACAUUUGUUUUCUUACUGUGCCGUUUUAAUGGAGGUGCAGGAUCCUCGUAGCAUGGUCCACCUCACCAAUCUGAACAACUCAAGCAUCAAUAAUUUCAUCAUUUGGACUCACUUUUAUCAUAUUUCCCUCUUCCUCACAGCCAAAGCACUUCAUAACAGUGGACACUGCAAAAAAAAUGUAAUCAUAAUCUUCCAGUCUGACACGAAAGUGCAGCUUAAGCUCAUCUGAUUAAUUGUGAAGAAUCAUAAACACCUGGUGUCUAUAAGAGAUGGAAUGACUAAGUAAGGGUGAUUUGCAACCAGACAAAACUUUCUUAAUGGAAGACAAAACUUUCAACACAACACAAACGUCUUGAAAGCUCGCAUCUCUGAAAUUCAUCGCUUAUAAAUGGGGGCACAUUAGAAAGAGUGAUCAAGUAGCAGGCUGUCCCAGCAGAACAACUGACACAAAAGCUCCCCCAACAGCGACCCCUUCCUCGACUAGCCUAUUAAUCCGAUCUACCUUCUCAACAAACAGGACCACAGCUCUGUUCAGCGCCCACAGUCAAAGCAACCUCCUCCACCACACGCAGAAAACAUUAACCCUGAUGUCAUGCUUUCGUGUCAGCAUGGAAAAGCAACCUGUACUAACCAUGGUGUUUAGACACCAAGUGGCCAAAAACUUUACUAAAAAACCCACAAAAUAAUGAAACAAAACCAACUGAUGAGGAAAAAAAAACAAAUAAAAAAACUAGGAAAGAAGGAAGUAUGGAAAAAUACAGCUACACAGAUCAGACACCCUCUUGCAGUUCAGACCUUUCAAAGUCAAAGUCAAAGUCAGCUUUACUGUCAAAAACCAUAUAUACAGUUCAUACACAGGAAUCAGAUAUUGCAGUGCUCACAUGGCCCUCAGUGUUACAGGCCAUGAGAUGUAAGAUGUAAAUAAGGUAGUCCAACAAGUGCCACUCUAGAAGUCUCCAGAAGUUUACUGGCUGGUCAUAAAAUGUCGGGGGAAUGUCACAGUUGUAAAUAUGGUUCUAUCACAACUUUUUUUGUUUUCC
Long non-coding RNA from Astatotilapia calliptera (eastern happy), 1426 nucleotides. Lineage: Eukaryota; Metazoa; Chordata; Actinopteri; Cichliformes; Cichlidae. The record is from Ensembl.